This 156-nucleotide ribosomal RNA is filed under the name uncultured Exiguobacterium sp. RNAcentral's name for it is "partial 16S ribosomal RNA". The record is from RNAcentral. Lineage: Bacteria; Bacillati; Bacillota; Bacilli; Caryophanales.
CUGGCCGGGACCUGCCCGCCCCUCCGCGGGAGUGAAGAAGGCUUUUCUCUCGUUAGCUUUUUUGUUGGAGGGACACGUACUACCUAAAAUGUUCGUGCCUUGACGAUACCUUACGGGAAGGGCGCGCUAACUACGUGCCAGCAGCCGCGGUAAUCC